RNAcentral lists this ribosomal RNA (482 nucleotides) under uncultured bacterium. Its description in RNAcentral is "partial 16S ribosomal RNA". It matches the Rfam family "Bacterial small subunit ribosomal RNA", at positions 30 to 507 of the family's 1533-position model. The record is from RNAcentral.
AUUGAACGCUGGCGGCAUGCUUUACACAUGCAAGUCGAACGGUAACAGGCCGCAAGGUGCUGACGAGUGGCGAACGGGUGAGUAAUGCAUCGGAACGUGCCCAGUCGUGGGGGAUAACUACUCGAAAGAGUAGCUAAUACCGCAUACGAUCUAUGGAUGAAAGCGGGGGACCGUAAGGCCUCGCGCGAUUGGAGCUGCCGAUGUCAGAUUAGGUAGUUGGUGGGGUAAAGGCUCACCAAGCCAACGAUCUGUAGCUGGUCUGAGAGGACGACCAGCCACACUGGGACUGAGACACGGCCCAGACUCCUACGGGAGGCAGCAGUGGGGAAUUUUGGACAAUGGGCGCAAGCCUGAUCCAGCAAUGCCGCGUGCAGGAAGAAGGCCUUCGGGUUGUAAAAUGCUUUUGUACGGAACGAAACGGCUCUGGUUAAUACCCGGGGAUAAUGACGGUACCGUAAGAAUAAGCACCGGCUAACUACGUG